Anneissia japonica is the source of this 573-nucleotide long non-coding RNA. RefSeq lists it as uncharacterized. NCBI's taxonomy places the organism in Eukaryota, Metazoa, Echinodermata, Crinoidea, Comatulida, Comatulidae. The record is from RefSeq and is a predicted model, not a curated record. The transcript has 3 exons.
UCUCGACCUGCUAUGUGACAAAGGAGACUUUACAAUUAAUAACAAAUCUAAUGACAGACAAGAUCGUGUAUUCAAAUUGGACCUCAUUGGAAAUGGGCUGGAAUCCGACCUAAUGGGCGUUCCUGAUGCUCGUGAUGUAGACAAAGAAGCCACAACUAUGUCUGAACUGAAAGGGCAACAGAACUUACACAUUUUUCAUAGAUAGCCACAAAUUAUGUCACUCAUCAAGCUUCUGGAUAUGAAAUUAGUUAAAAUAUAGUGUGAAUUUUAUUUUUAAAAUAUUUUCCUCUGCAAAAAUCUCAAAAAUAGUGUUAGCAAUAUGUAUUAAUUCUUGUUGGCUGUAUGUUUAUUAAUAUUGUAUUACUACUGCUAAUGUUUAUCUUAUUAAUAAAGUAACCCAUUUUUUGUAAAGAAUAGAUAUUUAAGAUUUUACAACAUGUAGGACCUAAGCUGCAGCAUUUUGAGGAUUAAAAUCUAGUCUAUUAAUAUAGACCUACAGUAUAUAAAUAUAAAUGUAUACAUAUAUCCCAACUUGAUUUCAAUGCUUGAAAAUAAAUAUCAAAUGGAAUUGUG